RNAcentral lists this small nuclear RNA (107 nucleotides) under Jaculus jaculus (lesser Egyptian jerboa). The record is from RNAcentral. Lineage: Eukaryota; Metazoa; Chordata; Mammalia; Rodentia; Dipodidae.
GUGCUCACUUCAGCAGCACAUAUACUAAAAAUGGAACAAUACAGAGGAGAUUAGCAUGGCCCCUGUGCAAGGAUGACAUGCAAAUUCGUGAAGGGUUACUUAUUUUU